Alosa sapidissima (American shad) is the source of this 1350-nucleotide long non-coding RNA. RefSeq lists it as uncharacterized. The record is from RefSeq and is a predicted model, not a curated record. The transcript has 6 exons. Lineage: Eukaryota; Metazoa; Chordata; Actinopteri; Clupeiformes; Clupeidae.
UUUACAGCUACAAAUCAUCCUACAGUUAAAAAUAUUUUACAAUUACAAAUAUAUUCUACAAUUACACAUCAAUAUUCUACGCACAAAAAGCUGCUCUACAGUUACAAAUCUUUUCUACAGGUGUACAGACUUUUGCACCACCUUUGGGAUGAAAAGUGUCUCAUAUGUAUUGUGUGUGUGUGUGUAACAGGAUUUGUAACUGUAAAAAUGAUUUGUGAUUUAACAAAAAAAUAACACGAACAAUUUUAAGUAUUACUCAUAUGUCGUUCACUUACAAAUAUAUUCCACAGGUAUGAAAUAUUCCACAGUUGCUGUCUUUCAAUUGCGAAACUAUUCUGCCAUUACAAAUUUCUGCUGCUCGCACAAGUAUUUUCUACAAGUAUACAAAUCAUUUUGAGACUGUUCUGGCGCUUCCUGUUGAAUAGCCAAUGGCGAUCCUCAGGUUUGGCUAGCCAACCAUGAAUCUCAGUUCACUAACCAAUCACAGAGCAGGAGCAGCGCCGUCGUUGUCUGUGGGUGCAACCAAACCUGGAGUCUACGUUUGGAGCACGCUAGUUUCCUGUAUUCCUUGAGGUAUGUUGGUAGCCUACACCACACAGACAUGUUCUAUGUCCACUAUUCCUUGUUAAUACAGCCAGUGUACCUGAUAUACGGGGCAACGAGUUUCUUAUGGAUCCCCAGUUGCUGCCUCCUUCUGAAGCACAGGUUAUUAGAGAGGCUGAAAACCAGGCUGGAACAGGCUCUUCAAAGGCAGCCUCUGGACCUGGACUAUUUAGAGUUCCUCUGUACCAGUGAGUUGAGCCUAGUUCACUGAGUACUCACAUGCCAUUUCCAGAAGAGGUCAUAGGCAGACGGGAAAAGCAGGCCUUAAAAGAGGGCUACAGGAUACUGGGGUGCUCCCAAUGAUAACAGAACGGCCAGAACUGGCUAGAGUUCUGUUCCCACAAGGUGGCUCAUCUCUAAUGGAUCCUAAGAUGAUUUUGAAAAGAGUGGUUUGACCAGAUGAGGCGGAGGUUGACGAAGAUGAAAUGGAAGACUGCCGUGUCACAGCCUACCUCAGACAAUACGUUUUUCUUUAGAGACAUUGAAAGACCUGGUGGUCUUCUGGACGGGAUGGUCUGUUGGCAGGGGCAAUGCCGACUGUACUUUGAAACUCCCCCUAGGGACAAGAAUGUAUGACACCUUCAAAGAAGCUAUGAAUGCAGCGCUGAAAUAAAGCAAUUAUGGUUUUGGCUUGAUCUAGUGUUGUUUUCUGAAAGUUCAAUGCAGUAUAGUCAACAAUUUCAGUGUUUCAGACGGUGACCAGAGUUCCAGUUGUUCAAUGAAUAAACUAUGCAAUGAGAAACUGUA